CAGCAUGAAAAUCCACAUCAAUCAAUCAAUCAAAUGUAUUUAUAAAGCCCUUUUCACAUCAGCAGAUGUCACAAAGUGCAAUACAUAGCUGCCACUACAGUUUCCAAAUCUAUGAAAGGCAUUGCAGAAGUAGGCUUCUCCUGACUGGCAUGGAGCAAACUGCAGACAAUAUCAUCUCAAAUGUUAUACCCCAGCACUUUUACCUUCGGCCUAUGGGGUGCAUUUGUCAUUACUACUGGUGAAGUUAGUAUGUGAAAACGACUCUUCUCAAACAUACAUUCCCGGUCAGAGGUUCAAACGUCUGCUCAUUCAAGGGUUUUUCUUUAUUUUUACUACUUUGUAUAUUGUAGAAUAAUAGUGAAGACAUCACAACUAUGAAAUAACACAUAUGGAAUCAUGUAGUAACUAAAAAAGUGUUAAAGAAAUGAAAAUAUUUUUCAUAUUUGUAACGAUUUUCGUCCUCCUCUUCUGAGGAGGAGUAGGAAGGAUCGGACCAAUACGCAGCGUGGCCUUACUUGUUAGACUCCAGCAUUGUCCCAGAGGAGCCCCACCGAUCCCUGUUCCGUACAAUCCAACAUUCCUGAAUGCAUCUCACACCUCUCUUUUGGUUGUCGAAGACACUAAACCGACCCGAGCUUCCCGUUUCACUGUCACUGUGCUCAACGGCUCAGAUGGGAAAAUAGUUCCAUUGCUCCUGAAGAGCACAGACACCAUCGGCAAACUUCAGAGGAGGUUCCUACAGAAGCGGCCUGACCUGACGGGAAGCCUGAACCUCGCCUACAAACGGCAAGCCCGUCCAGGGGCACCAGAGCCUCGGAGAGCUGGGGGUGAAGAAUGGUGUUACCUUCAUCACUUUUCAGAGGUGUCUUGCAGGGUAGAUGUGGAGUAAAAGUGCAGCAAUAGAUGUGAAGGAGGGCUGUUUCCGUUGAUCUUUCCCUUCUCAUGCAAUAUGAACAAUAUCUGUCAAUUAAUUUGUGAUCUAUAAAGAAUAUUUGCAUUAGCCAUAUCGGGUGUUCUUUUUGCACUACAUAGUAGAUUCUUUAUGGUUUAGAAUACCAACCAAAGUGAUGUUGUAGCUUGCUGAGGGAGAAUGCACAAUGAAUAAUGUUAAUGCAUCUUUGUCCUUUCUUUAUGUUAAAGUAACUGUCCAGUGUUUCCAGACUUCUAUGAAAUAUGUUCUACAAUUACUUACAAUAUGAGCUAAAUAGUUUUUCUAUAGUAUAGUAAUAGUAAUUGAGUAUGUUAAAAGUAUGUUAAAAAGCAUAUUUUCUGUGUUGGUGUGUUGUGGGCGUACACCAACAUCAGAAAGGUGUCGACGUAUACCGCUUAUAAAGAAUAUUCUUGCGAGUAAGACUGCUGAUUGGCCAGCUCAUCUUCCUCAGGGAGAUAACAUUAUUUAUAUGAGGAAAUACUGUAGCAAGCAUUUUUUAAACAGCCUGUUUGAGAUACAAUUUUGAAUAUUUUUUUCAUGUUUUUUCUCUCCAAUUUAUGCUUUGGCCACAAACACAAGUAUUGGACAAAUCAACAACAUUAUUUGGAUAUGUGAGAAUAUGAACGUUUAAAAGUGAGUUUUUCACUGGGCAGUUACUUUAACUCCAUCCAGCACAACCAGAAGAGGACUGGCCACCCCUCAGAGCCUGUUUCUGCUUUAGGUUUCUUCCUAGGUUCCUGCCUUUUGAGGGUGUUUUUCCUAGCCACCGUGCUUCUACAUCUGCAUUGCUUGCUGUUUGGGGUUUUAGGCUGGGUUUCUGAAUAAGCACUUUGUGACAUUGGCUUUCUAAAUACAUUUGAUUGAUUGACUGAUUUAACUGUCUUGUUUUGCUCUUGCCUAGCUAUACUAUACACCGGUCACCAAUCAAUGUGAGUUAGUUCACCAAGUUAAAUGUAUCAUUUGUGAGGUUUUACUGAUAAUUUUGAUAAACCAUUGUCGAUUAAGAGUGGGCUACUACUGUAUCAGAAAUUGCUCAGUACUGAUUUCUUACUUUAUUGUAAAAAUACUAUAUAUUUUCAAUGACAACCAAUAAGGCUAGCCAAUCAGGAGGAUGAACAAAAUAAACUAUGUUGAAACAUAUUUUAUCUGCAUAUAUGGACAUUCUACUCACCCUUAAAUAAAUACCUAAUUAUUUCAAGUG
Oncorhynchus kisutch (coho salmon) is the source of this 2132-nucleotide long non-coding RNA. RefSeq lists it as uncharacterized. The record is from RefSeq and is a predicted model, not a curated record. The transcript has 2 exons. Lineage: Eukaryota; Metazoa; Chordata; Actinopteri; Salmoniformes; Salmonidae.